CACAUGCAAGUCGAGCGGAGACAGUGAGUAGCUUGCUAUGAGCUGUUUUAGCGGCGGACGGGUGAGUAACGCGUGAGCAACCUUUCCCAGACAGGGGAAUAACACACCGAAAGGUGUACUAAUACCGCAUAAGACCACGGGAUCACAUGGUUCUGGGGUAAAAGAUUUAUCGGUUUGGGGUGGGCUCGCGUCCGAUUAGGUAGUUGGUGAGGUAACGGCCCACCAAGCCGACGAUCGGUAGCCGACCUGAGAGGGUGAUCGGCCACAUUGGGACUGAGACACGGCCCAAACUCCUACGGGAGGCAGCAGUGGGGAAUAUUGGGCAAUGGGGGGAACCCUGACCCAGCAACGCCGCGUGGAGGAAGAAGGUUUUCGGAUCGUAAACUCCUGUCCUUGGAGACGAGUAGAAGACGGUAUCCAAGGAGGAAGCCCCGGCUAACUACGUGCCAGCAGCCGCGGUAAUACGUAGGGGGCAAGCGUUGUCCGGAAUAAUUGGGCGUAAAGGGCGCGUAGGCGGCUCGGUAAGUCUGGAGUGAAAGUCCUGCUUUUAAGGUGGGAAUUGCUUUGGAUACUGUCGGGCUUGAGUGCAGGAGAGGUUAGUGGAAUUCCCAGUGUAGCGGUGAAAUGCGUAGAGAUUGGGAGGAACACCAGUGGCGAAGGCGACUAACUGGACUGUAACUGACGCUGAGGCGCGAAAG
This 698-nucleotide ribosomal RNA is filed under the name uncultured bacterium. RNAcentral's name for it is "bacterial SSU rRNA". It matches the Rfam family "Bacterial small subunit ribosomal RNA", at positions 52 to 759 of the family's 1533-position model. The record is from RNAcentral.